AACUGUGACUAAACCAUGACGAGUUAGAAGCAUGUGUAAUAUAUGCAUGAAAUCUGCAGCACCCUUCCUUAAAAUUAAUGCAGAUCAAGAGACCCUGAUUGUUUUGGACCACAGAGCAAGAAGCAAGGCCUACAGGCAAGUCCCCUGCCAGCAUUCUUCUCUGGAGAGCAUCAACAGGAAAAGAUCAAGGUGAUCUGAACUGAAGUUCCUGGGGUCAUUCACAUGAACAAAGACUGCUGAGUGCAAUUACUGGCCUGUGCACACUUACCUCCCAUGUACAAAAUCACAGGAAAUGAGGUAAUCCCGAGGAAAGCCCAGGAGUUAUUAGCUCCAGACUCUUCAAACAUUAUUCUCUCUCCACCUGCUAGCAGAUGGUGUAAGUGAAGCCACAUGGAGAAUUACCCAUCAGGAGACAGACCUCCUUUGUCUGCUGUUUCAUCAACAGUUCCUACAGAAGUAAAUCUAGGGAGUAUACCAAGUCUUGCGCAAAUUUCUAGAAGAAUAACCCACCCGGGACCAUGAGACAAAAAGACACCGGCUCUGUCGCAGGAAAUCUUCAAUCUACAAAUUGCUGCAGGAGUGCAGCAGGGAAGCCAAAGUUGAUGCUUCUCGGGCUAGCAGUGCUGGUGACGAUUUUAACCAGGUGGUUUCACAGAAAGCCAGCCUCUUUCCUGUUAGCCCCCACCAAGACUCUUGAGGAAGUACAAAUGGAUCCCAGACCAUGCAGCAGGCGUGGAGGAGGAAGCAGCGGUGGCUGUAGCUGGUGCUGGCUGUCUCAAACAAGCAGUGCAGGAAAUGUCAGACCCUGCGCUGAAGCAGCACAUUUCCAAGUGACAAUCACACAUGCUGUCUGCCAGGAAAACACUUAUUCAGAGGACUUGGUUACAGUUUUCACAGAGAAAAUCUGUUCAGAUUGCUUCAAGACAGGUAACACCAGGACAGCCCUUUGCUGUUCCAGGAUGGAAUGUUUCCUAUCUCGUUUCUGGAAAGUCUUACACUGGAGGUAA
Molecule: long non-coding RNA, 1007 nt
Filed under: Anas platyrhynchos platyrhynchos (common mallard)
Lineage: Eukaryota; Metazoa; Chordata; Aves; Anseriformes; Anatidae
Description: lncRNA (ENSAPLG00000026547.1)
Source: RNAcentral